RNAcentral lists this ribosomal RNA (535 nucleotides) under Streptococcus equinus. Its description in RNAcentral is "bacterial SSU rRNA". It matches the Rfam family "Bacterial small subunit ribosomal RNA", at positions 1 to 522 of the family's 1533-position model. RNAcentral also lists the same sequence under 1 other name. The record is from RNAcentral. Lineage: Bacteria; Bacillati; Bacillota; Bacilli; Lactobacillales; Streptococcaceae.
UGGAGAGUUUGAUCCUGGCUCAGGACGAACGCUGGCGGCGUGCCUAAUACAUGCAAGUAGAACGCUGAAGACUUUAGCUUGCUAAAGUUGGAAGAGUUGCGAACGGGUGAGUAACGCGUAGGUAACCUGCCUACUAGCGGGGGAUAACUAUUGGAAACGAUAGCUAAUACCGCAUAACAGCAUUUAACCCAUGUUAGAUGCUUGAAAGGAGCAAUUGCUUCACUAGUAGAUGGACCUGCGUUGUAUUAGCUAGUUGGUGAGGUAACGGCUCACCAAGGCGACGAUACAUAGCCGACCUGAGAGGGUGAUCGGCCACACUGGGACUGAGACACGGCCCAGACUCCUACGGGAGGCAGCAGUAGGGAAUCUUCGGCAAUGGGGGCAACCCUGACCGAGCAACGCCGCGUGAGUGAAGAAGGUUUUCGGAUCGUAAAGCUCUGUUGUAAGAGAAGAACGUGUGUGAGAGUGGAAAGUUCACACAGUGACGGUAACUUACCAGAAAGGGACGGCUAACUACGUGCCAGCAGCCGCGGUA